CUGGCGAUGGUGGAGUUGGUAACACAUUGCCACGUUAAGGCAAAGAAUGGACGUUCGAAUCGUCCUCGCCGGG
Molecule: transfer RNA, 73 nt
Filed under: Tulasnella calospora MUT 4182
Lineage: Eukaryota; Fungi; Basidiomycota; Agaricomycetes; Cantharellales; Tulasnellaceae
Rfam family: tRNA
About the family: Transfer RNA (tRNA) molecules are approximately 80 nucleotides in length. Their secondary structure includes four short double-helical elements and three loops (D, anti-codon, and T loops).
Source: Rfam by way of RNAcentral